RNAcentral lists this ribosomal RNA (501 nucleotides) under uncultured bacterium. RNAcentral's name for it is "partial 16S ribosomal RNA". It matches the Rfam family "Bacterial small subunit ribosomal RNA", at positions 355 to 849 of the family's 1533-position model. The record is from RNAcentral.
UGGGGAAUUUUGGACAAUGGGGGCAACCCUGAUCCAGCAAUGCCGCGUGUGUGAAGAAGGCCUUCGGGUUGUAAAGCACUUUUGUCCGGAAAGAAAACGCCGUGGUUAAUACCCGUGGCGGAUGACGGUACCGGAAGAAUAAGCACCGGCUAACUACGUGCCAGCAGCCGCGGUAAUACGUAGGGUGCAAGCGUUAAUCGGAAUUACUGGGCGUAAAGCGUGCGCAGGCGGUCCGCUAAGACAGAUGUGAAAUCCCCGGGCUUAACCUGGGAACUGCAUUUGUGACUGGCGGGCUAGAGUAUGGCAGAGGGGGGUAGAAUUCCACGUGUAGCAGUGAAAUGCGUAGAGAUGUGGAGGAAUACCGAUGGCGAAGGCAGCCCCCUGGGCCAAUACUGACGCUCAUGCACGAAAGCGUGGGGAGCAAACAGGAUUAGAUACCCUGGUAGUCCACGCCCUAAACGAUGUCAACUAGUUGUCGGGUCUUCAUUGACUUGGUAACGU